AUCGGGUCUUUCGUCCUGCCUCCUGCGAUGAGGAAACCCGCCCGGCUCUCUCUUCCGCAGCAAAAAAAAAGGAAAGCACCCGCUAUCUCCUCCACGAAUCCUCCUCGGCGCCGCCUCGACGAAUCCUCCUCCACGCAGAGCGCCCACCUCCUCCUCGACGAAUCCUCCUCGGCGCCCCCUCGACGAAUCCUCCUCCACGCAGAGCGCCCGCCUCCUCCUCGACGAAUCGGCGACCGCCUCCUCGGCGCCCCGCUCCCAGAUUUCGGUGCCCGCGCGAACUCCGGUGCGCAUAUUUCGGUGGCCGCGUCCCGCUGUCCGCGCAGCGACCCGCCG
Molecule: long non-coding RNA, 333 nt
Filed under: Sorghum bicolor (sorghum)
Lineage: Eukaryota; Viridiplantae; Streptophyta; Magnoliopsida; Poales; Poaceae
Description: long non-coding RNA (SBIC_LNC004918)
Source: RNAcentral